UACCAGCUCUCCGAGUUGUAGGGAUGAUUAUUGGGCUUAAAGCGUCCGUAGCUGGCUUAGCAAGUCUCCUGUUAAAUUCAGCGACCUAAUCGUUGAGCCGCGGGAGAUACUACUAGGCUAGGAGGCGGGAGAGGUCGACGGUACUUUCGGGGUAGGGGUGAAAUCCUAUAAUCCCGGGAGGACCACCAGUGGCGAAGGCUGUCGACUAGAACGCGCUCGACGGUGAGGGACGAAGGCUGGGGGAGCGUUAACCGGAUUAGAUACCCGGGUAGUCCCAGCUGUAAACUAUGCGGGCUAGGUGUUGGGGUGGCUACGGGCCACUUCAGUGCCGCAGGAAAGCCAUUAAGCCCGCCGCCUGGGGAGUACGGCCGCAAGGCUGAAACUUAAAGGAAUUGGCGGGGGAGCACCACAAGGCGUGAAGCUUGCGGUUC
RNAcentral lists this ribosomal RNA (431 nucleotides) under uncultured archaeon. Its description in RNAcentral is "bacterial SSU rRNA". It matches the Rfam family "Archaeal small subunit ribosomal RNA", at positions 474 to 903 of the family's 1478-position model. The record is from RNAcentral.